Molecule: ribosomal RNA, 2881 nt
Filed under: Pseudomonas aeruginosa
Lineage: Bacteria; Pseudomonadati; Pseudomonadota; Gammaproteobacteria; Pseudomonadales; Pseudomonadaceae
Description: 23S ribosomal RNA
Rfam family: Bacterial large subunit ribosomal RNA
Source: RNAcentral
GGUCAAGUGAAGAAGCGCAUACGGUGGAUGCCUUGGCAGUCAGAGGCGAUGAAAGACGUGGUAGCCUGCGAAAAGCUUCGGGGAGUCGGCAAACAGACUUUGAUCCGGAGAUCUCUGAAUGGGGGAACCCACCUAGGAUAACCUAGGUAUCUUGUACUGAAUCCAUAGGUGCAAGAGGCGAACCAGGGGAACUGAAACAUCUAAGUACCCUGAGGAAAAGAAAUCAACCGAGAUUCCCUUAGUAGUGGCGAGCGAACGGGGAUUAGCCCUUAAGCUUCAUUGAUUUUAGCGGAACGCUCUGGAAAGUGCGGCCAUAGUGGGUGAUAGCCCCGUACGCGAAAGGAUCUUUGAAGUGAAAUCGAGUAGGACGGAGCACGAGAAACUUUGUCUGAACAUGGGGGGACCAUCCUCCAAGGCUAAAUACUACUGACUGACCGAUAGUGAACCAGUACCGUGAGGGAAAGGCGAAAAGAACCCCGGAGAGGGGAGUGAAAUAGAACCUGAAACCGUAUGCGUACAAGCAGUGGGAGCCUACUUGUUAGGUGACUGCGUACCUUUUGUAUAAUGGGUCAGCGACUUAUAUUCAGUGGCAAGCUUAACCGUAUAGGGUAGGCGUAGCGAAAGCGAGUCUUAAUAGGGCGUUUAGUCGCUGGGUAUAGACCCGAAACCGGGCGAUCUAUCCAUGAGCAGGUUGAAGGUUAGGUAACACUGACUGGAGGACCGAACCCACUCCCGUUGAAAAGGUAGGGGAUGACUUGUGGAUCGGAGUGAAAGGCUAAUCAAGCUCGGAGAUAGCUGGUUCUCCUCGAAAGCUAUUUAGGUAGCGCCUCAUGUAUCACUCUGGGGGGUAGAGCACUGUUUCGGCUAGGGGGUCAUCCCGACUUACCAAACCGAUGCAAACUCCGAAUACCCAGAAGUGCCGAGCAUGGGAGACACACGGCGGGUGCUAACGUCCGUCGUGAAAAGGGAAACAACCCAGACCGCCAGCUAAGGUCCCAAAGUUGUGGUUAAGUGGUAAACGAUGUGGGAAGGCUUAGACAGCUAGGAGGUUGGCUUAGAAGCAGCCACCCUUUAAAGAAAGCGUAAUAGCUCACUAGUCGAGUCGGCCUGCGCGGAAGAUGUAACGGGGCUCAAACCACACACCGAAGCUGCGGGUGUCACGUAAGUGACGCGGUAGAGGAGCGUUCUGUAAGCCUGUGAAGGUGAGUUGAGAAGCUUGCUGGAGGUAUCAGAAGUGCGAAUGCUGACAUGAGUAACGACAAUGGGUGUGAAAAACACCCACGCCGAAAGACCAAGGGUUCCUGCGCAACGUUAAUCGACGCAGGGUUAGUCGGUUCCUAAGGCGAGGCUGAAAAGCGUAAACAGGUUAAUAUUCCUGUACUUCUGGUUACUGCGAUGGAGGGACGGAGAAGGCUAGGCCAGCUUGGCGUUGGUUGUCCAAGUUUAAGGUGGUAGGCUGAAAUCUUAGGUAAAUCCGGGGUUUCAAGGCCGAGAGCUGAUGACGAGUCGUCUUUUAGAUGACGAAGUGGUUGAUGCCAUGCUUCCAAGAAAAGCUUCUAAGCUUCAGGUAACCAGGAACCGUACCCCAAACCGACACAGGUGGUCGGGUAGAGAAUACCAAGGCGCUUGAGAGAACUCGGGUGAAGGAACUAGGCAAAAUGGCACCGUAACUUCGGGAGAAGGUGCGCCGGCUAGGGUGAAGGAUUUACUCCGUAAGCUCUGGCUGGUCGAAGAUACCAGGCCGCUGCGACUGUUUAUUAAAAACACAGCACUCUGCAAACACGAAAGUGGACGUAUAGGGUGUGACGCCUGCCCGGUGCCGGAAGGUUAAUUGAUGGGGUUAGCGCAAGCGAAGCUCUUGAUCGAAGCCCCGGUAAACGGCGGCCGUAACUAUAACGGUCCUAAGGUAGCGAAAUUCCUUGUCGGGUAAGUUCCGACCUGCACGAAUGGCGUAACGAUGGCGGCGCUGUCUCCACCCGAGACUCAGUGAAAUUGAAAUCGCUGUGAAGAUGCAGUGUAUCCGCGGCUAGACGGAAAGACCCCGUGAACCUUUACUGUAGCUUUGCACUGGACUUUGAGCCUGCUUGUGUAGGAUAGGUGGGAGGCUUUGAAGCGUGGACGCCAGUUCGCGUGGAGCCAUCCUUGAAAUACCACCCUGGCAUGCUUGAGGUUCUAACUCUGGUCCGUAAUCCGGAUCGAGGACAGUGUAUGGUGGGCAGUUUGACUGGGGCGGUCUCCUCCUAAAGAGUAACGGAGGAGUACGAAGGUGCGCUCAGACCGGUCGGAAAUCGGUCGCAGAGUAUAAAGGCAAAAGCGCGCUUGACUGCGAGACAGACACGUCGAGCAGGUACGAAAGUAGGUCUUAGUGAUCCGGUGGUUCUGUAUGGAAGGGCCAUCGCUCAACGGAUAAAAGGUACUCCGGGGAUAACAGGCUGAUACCGCCCAAGAGUUCAUAUCGACGGCGGUGUUUGGCACCUCGAUGUCGGCUCAUCACAUCCUGGGGCUGAAGCCGGUCCCAAGGGUAUGGCUGUUCGCCAUUUAAAGUGGUACGCGAGCUGGGUUUAGAACGUCGUGAGACAGUUCGGUCCCUAUCUGCCGUGGACGUUUGAGAUUUGAGAGGGGCUGCUCCUAGUACGAGAGGACCGGAGUGGACGAACCUCUGGUGUUCCGGUUGUCACGCCAGUGGCAUUGCCGGGUAGCUAUGUUCGGAAAAGAUAACCGCUGAAAGCAUCUAAGCGGGAAACUUGCCUCAAGAUGAGAUCUCACUGGGAACUUGAUUCCCCUGAAGGGCCGUCGAAGACUACGACGUUGAUAGGCUGGGUGUGUAAGCGUUGUGAGGCGUUGAGCUAACCAGUACUAAUUGCCCGUGAGGCUUGACCAU